This 382-nucleotide ribosomal RNA is filed under the name uncultured bacterium. Its description in RNAcentral is "bacterial SSU rRNA". It matches the Rfam family "Bacterial small subunit ribosomal RNA", at positions 335 to 704 of the family's 1533-position model. The record is from RNAcentral.
ACUCCUACGGGAGGCAGCAGUGGGGAAUAUUGCACAAUGGGCGCAAGCCUGAUGCAGCCAUGCCGCGUGUGUGAAGAAGGCCUUCGGUUGUAAAGUCACUUUCAGUCGUGAGGAAGGUAGUGUAGUUAAUAGCUGCAUUAUUUGUACGUUAGCGACAGAAGAAGCACCGGCUAACUCCGUGCCAGCAGCCGCGGUAAUACGGAGGGGUGCGAGCGUUAAUCGGAAUUACUGGGCGUAAAGCGCAUGCAGGUGGUUUGUUUAAGUACAGAUGUGAAAGCCCGGGGCGUCAACCUCGGAAUAGCAUUUGAAACUGGCAGACUAGAGUACUGUAGAGGGGGUAGGAAUUUCAGGUGUAGCGGUGAAAUGCGUAGAGAUCUGAAGG